CUCCUCGUCGUAGUGGCUCUACGCAUCGGUCUACGAAGCCGGUUGUCCAGGUUCGAUUCCUGGCGAGGAGACCA
This 74-nucleotide transfer RNA is filed under the name Labilithrix sp. RNAcentral's name for it is "tRNA-Arg". It matches the Rfam family "tRNA". From Rfam's summary of the family: Transfer RNA (tRNA) molecules are approximately 80 nucleotides in length. Their secondary structure includes four short double-helical elements and three loops (D, anti-codon, and T loops). Further hydrogen bonds mediate the characteristic L-shaped molecular structure. tRNAs have two regions of fundamental functional importance: the anti-codon, which is responsible for specific mRNA codon recognition, and the 3' end, to which the tRNAs corresponding amino acid is attached (by aminoacyl-tRNA synthetases). tRNAs cope with the degeneracy of the genetic code in two manners: having more than one tRNA (with a specific anti-codon) for a particular amino acid; and 'wobble' base-pairing, i.e. permitting non-standard base-pairing at the 3rd anti-codon position. Lineage: Bacteria; Pseudomonadati; Myxococcota; Polyangiales; Labilitrichaceae. The record is from RNAcentral.